RNAcentral lists this ribosomal RNA (484 nucleotides) under uncultured bacterium. RNAcentral's name for it is "partial 16S ribosomal RNA". It matches the Rfam family "Bacterial small subunit ribosomal RNA", at positions 30 to 507 of the family's 1533-position model. The record is from RNAcentral.
AUUGAACGCUGGCGGCAGGCCUAACACAUGCAAGUCGAGCGGAUGAAGGGAGCUUGCUCCUGGAUUCAGCGGCGGACGGGUGAGUAAUGCCUAGGAAUCUGCCUGGUAGUGGGGGAUAACGUCCGGAAACGGGCGCUAAUACCGCAUACGUCCUGAGGGAGAAAGUGGGGGAUCUUCGGACCUCACGCUAUCAGAUGAGCCUAGGUCGGAUUAGCUAGUUGGUGGGGUAAAGGCCUACCAAGGCGACGAUCCGUAACUGGUCUGAGAGGAUGAUCAGUCACACUGGCACUGAGACACGGUCCAGACUCCUACGGGAGGCAGCAGUGGGGAAUAUUGGACAAUGGGCCAAAGCCUGAUCCAGCCAUGCCGCGUGUGUGAAGAAGGUCUUCGGAUUGUAAAGCACUUUAAGUUGGGAGGAAGGGCAGUAAGUUAAUACCUUGCUGUUUUGACGUUACCAACAGAAUAAGCACCGGCUAACUUCGUG